AAAAAAAAAGAAGAAAAAAAAGCACAGCACAAAAGCACACAGUCUGAUUUAUCAACGAAGAGGUUCAAGGGGAGGGCCUCGCCUAUCGAGCUUGACAGGGAAAUGAGUAAAACAUGCAGUCACACCACGCUAUCAAGGCAGUAGCCCAACUGGAUUGUCCCAGGUGACUACAAUAAAAAGGAAGCUGGUAUAAAAGGAGUGAUUAGGGACAGGCUUGCUUUUUAGAACGGGGGUAAAAUGGGUUAGUGCUUGAGAGCAGAAGUAAUGGAAAAUUUGAGGGAAGCAAUUCUUAAACAGAGAAGAGGUCUGAGAUUCCAGGUGGACAGUUGAGGAGCUGUUCUGCUAAGCUAUGAGAGAUUCCUACAAAAAAGCAAGGAAGAAUAUCUUUAAUGUUCUUUGAGAAAGAGAUGCUGAAGAAACAUAUCUCCAGAGCUGAUGUCCGUUGUAAAUAAGAGGCACAGCACCAAGAACUAGCGUGUGUUAUCUGAUGUGGGAGUGUUUUCUAGAAGGGUGGGAGGGGAGAAGAAAAACCAGGAAUAAGGGAAUUAUUUAUUGCUUUAUGGGAAGAGGAGUCUUCCAAACUUUCAGAUGUACCCAUAGAAAGGGUCCCUUCUACCCACCUCUUGAGAAAGCAGCACAUUAUGGCCAUCCGGCAUCUCACCACCAUGACGCUGGACCUUCCAGAGCUGAGCCAUCCCAAAGCUCAAAUCUCCAUGGGACUCUUUGGCUGAUACAGUGAACAUUCAGGGGCUGCUGGAUGAUCCUUCCUUAACAGGUCCUCAAGGUGUUUGUCCUGUUUCAUUGAGCAGAUAGGGCCAAGCACAAAGAUUUGAUUCUCCCCUGUGAGAGCACCUGAGUGACUGCACCUUGGGGACCCAGCUUGCAGCCAGCAACACCACAGCUGCCUUCUGGGGAAGGAGCAGCAUGCCCCAGGGCUUGCAGGCACAGACAAAACACACAGUGGCACCUAGGGCAAUGAAUGCAAGUCACAAGAAACAUUUUUCUCCUCAAGGAAAUAAUGCCACUAGAAAAUGAGCAAAGACUCCUUCAGGAUACGUGCAGCAGCUCCCAGUAAGUGCUAUAGCAUCUCUUGCCAGUUAUUUGUUCUCCCAGAGAGUAGUUCUUUACAAGGUACCAGGCAGUUCACACUUCUUUUAAGCUGGCUAUUUGUUGACAGAUGUGAAUGACUGGUUUCUGUUUUACUCAGGUCUGUCAAGACCUCUUUCAAUAAUCACAAGAAGUAUCUCAAUAUUUGUAGACAGAAUGUUUGGUGGGUUUUUUUGUUAUUUUGGGGAGAGGCAUGUUGGAAGCAAAACUGCUUCUUUAUAUGAAAAAUAUGUAUCUAGUCCAUUAACCUUUUCAAGUGUUACGUUUUUGAGCUGAGAUUUUCAUUCACACUUAUUUUAGUCUCUUUGCUAACAGUGGUUUGAAGUGAUCAGUCUCUGUCAUGUAUCUGGACAGGCUGACUCAGGGGAGAACAAGCAAUUUAAGGAAGGAGGAAAGGAAGACCAUCCACUCUGUCUCUGCACCUGAAGAUCCAGAACAGACUCUGCAAUUAUUUGCUGAUGCAAGUUUUUGAUGCCGUGGCACUUUUUUCAGAUGUGUUGAUACAUUCUGUAGCUAAGUCCCAUUUCUUACAUUUAGAAGUAAUAUCCUUGCACUAUUGUCCUCUCAAGGUCUACUUUCACUUUUAGCUGGUAUUGACCACUGUCUGAAACAGGGUAUGAGACACAAAGGAUUAACGUUUCAAGCCAAGGAAGUGUUUGAUGCAUCGAGGCAGGGAAAAUAAAUCAAGAACAACUAAUGAAUACACCUGAGCAACAUAUUUUUUCCACACAGCUUUUAUUUAUCCAGAAAUAUUUGCAUAUAUCAAAAACUUAAAUCUCACUUUUCAAAUCUCACCUUUCAACCCUGCCUAUUAGCUAAUAGUUUCCUGCAGCUGUCGGUGCCUGUGGGGAGCUGGUGCAUCCUGCUCUCACUGCAUCCAUUCCAUGCUUGCUUUUGAUAGGAAAUCACCUGAUGCAUCAGAGCUGCUGCCUUGGCUCAUCUAUUCGUCUCUGGUAGUGUCGGAAUCAUUUGGGUUCCCCCAUCCAUGUUUCCAAUUUAUCUUAGUUUCCAGAGCAACCAAGUCUCAUUGUUACUGCUUGUUCUCAGCUGAUCUGGUCAUGUCUUUGCUCUCUGUGUAUUCUAGCUUCUCUGCAGUAAUAAAGACUGUCACAGGUUUGGAGGAGGUGAAACAAAACGUCCAAAUGAAUGAGUUCUUUUUCUUUUUUAAUAGACAUUUGUGGCUUUUCCCCCUUCCAUGUUUGCCUUGUUUGGCAGUGCAUUGAAGGACUGAUGCUGUAUUUUUUCCAUGGGAUUUCCCCUUUAAUAGGGUCCCUCUGAUCUUAUUACACUCUCUGGUAGAAAUACCUUUUUUACUCGUAUUUGGGGAUCAUAUCAACGAACAGAUAUUGCAAGUGAAAGAGGCUUUGUGCAUAUUUUAAUUUUCUGACACCAGUGUUUCUGUUGCUGCUGCUUUCAUUUCUCUAAAAGGUAACUUUCUGCCUAUCCAGUCCUUCCAUGCAUCUCUGUGGGAUGUCCAUCACUCCAGGUGACUGCUCCCCAGCUCCAUGUACACACCUGUCCCUGCCUUCCUUUGAUCUUCUCUGAGGUCUUCAUGCUUUCUGCAGUGCAGUCAAAGCCACCAGAGACCCCAUGUUACCUGUACAACUCGGGGAGGUGGGGGAUCCCAGGAGUGAUGUGUGUUUCCAGGCCACAUGGUAAGCAAGGCAUCCAUCAUUAGGGAUUCACUAAGCUUCAGGGAAACAUGACAAGCUCAGCUUGCUCAGGGGAGAUCCAGCACAAUUUUAUGUUUAUCUUCUUAGCACUUAUACCAGUUUUCCAAAAGCUCUGACCAUGGACUCUAAACUCUUUUUAACACUUAACAGGUUCAGUUACCAGUGUCCACACAGAUCCAUUGUAGAAUGGGGGAGAGAAAUGGCCAAAGCUGGUAAAACUUCUGUAGUUACAAAAAAACCUGUAAAGCCGGAGUGCUACAGAACAAUUUUUCUUCAGCCUUAGAGUAAAGCUGCAUUACAAGUCAGUAACAAAUGUUCACUUUCUCUGGUUUUACCCUAAAUUCUUUUUCAGAACAACUGAAGUUCAGCAUUGUUUCAGGUGAGUGUGAUGCUCUCCCAUUUGCUCUCUUACCCCUGUCCUUUAAAAAAAGAAAAAUCAAAUCUGCACUUUUAAAAAUCAAAUGACAAGUGUAUGGACACUGGGGACAGUAUAUGUCUGCUGUGCCACUGAACCCCUUUCAGCUCCCAAUGAGGCAGGCAAUCCUACCUCACAUCUGUAAGGCUAUUUUUCCACACAUUUGCUCUAUUCUAGACAGAUAACUCUGUAUAUGUUCUUUCUUUCCAGUGAUCAUUUCCAUACACUACCCACCUCAUUUAUCAGUAGGGAAAGAUUAAGGCAGGGUAAUCGGGUGAUUUGCAGAGGAACACAGUGAUGAACUUGGAAAGCAGCAAAGCACUAUCACCACAGGCUUGGGAGUGCCUCUGCACCAACAACCCAUAUACUGGGCAGAAGAUGCGCUGUUCAAUGACCUUGGCACAUCAGCUAACCGCUCCCCAUUUCCUUUUUGCUUCCUUCCCCUGUUCCUGGCUCUGAUGUUCCUGAAUUCUCUGCCUAGGUCACCAACAGCUCACUGCAGCUCCAGUCCCCAUUGCCCUAGGCAUUCUCUGUGCCUCCCUGUCAGCGAAAGCCAUCUCUGCUGGCCAAGGUUUAGCUCAUUUUGGGUUAGCACAAAGCCAUUGCACAGCCUCAGAGAGGACAGGAGCAUAAGGGGGAAGAGCAGGCUUGUUGUAAGGUGAGCAGCGUGUAAGUUCUGCUUUGCUUUAAGAAGGAAGUCAUAAAACCCUUCUGAAGUAACUGCAGGUGCCCCUGCCUGUGCUGCUGAAGGGUACCACGGGAUAUUUGUAGCAAGGGGACAAAUUCACGCUAAAGGAUAACACGUUAGCAAGGUGAGGCUGUACAAAGCACUGAUGCAAGGUGCAAAAGGGACAAAGUUUGCAGGGACAGGCAAUGUUAAUAGAGCAGCCCAAACCACCUGAGGAGAAGGAUGAAAUGUGUUUAAAGUUCAAGGUGAGUCAUUUAUUAUCAACUUGAUGAGGACUGGGAAGCUGAGUGGAAGAGAAACAAGGAGCCUGAAUCUCCUAAAGACCAGUUUUGUUUUGUUUUGUUUUGUUUUCUGGAAAU
Cygnus olor (mute swan) is the source of this 4242-nucleotide long non-coding RNA. RefSeq lists it as uncharacterized. Lineage: Eukaryota; Metazoa; Chordata; Aves; Anseriformes; Anatidae. The record is from RefSeq and is a predicted model, not a curated record. The transcript has 5 exons.